CAGUAGCCGCGGUAAUACGGAGGGUGCAAGCGUUAAUCGGAAUUACUGGGCGUAAAGCGUGCGUAGGUGGUGGUUUAAGUCCGUUGUGAAAGCCCUGGGCUCAACCUGGGAAUUGCAGUGGAUACUGGGUCACUAGAGUGUGGUAGAGGAUAGUGGAAUUUCCGGUGUAGCAGUGAAAUGCGUAGAGAUCGGAAGGAACAUCUGUGGCGAAGGCGACUAUCUGGGCCAACACUGACACUGAGGCACGAAAGCGUGGGGAGCAAACAGGAUUAGAUACCCGCGUAGUCCCUGUCUCUUAUAC
This 301-nucleotide ribosomal RNA is filed under the name uncultured bacterium. RNAcentral describes it as "partial 16S ribosomal RNA". It matches the Rfam family "Bacterial small subunit ribosomal RNA", at positions 509 to 807 of the family's 1533-position model. The record is from RNAcentral.